GUCAUAUGCUGUCUCAAAGAUAAGCCAUGCAUGUCUCAGUACAAGCCAAAUUAAGGUGAAACCGCGAAAGGCUCAUUAAAUCAGUUAUGGUUCCUUAGAUCGUACCCACAAUUACUUGGAUAACUGUGGUAAUUCUAGAGCUAAUACAUGCAAACAGAGCUCCGACCGGAGACGGAAGGAGUGCUUUUAUUAGAUCAAAACCAAUCGGUGGCGGGUUCGCGCUCGUUAUCGUACAACUUGGUGACUCUGAAUAACUUUACGCUGAUCGCACGGUCAUCGCACCGGCGACGCAUCUUUCAAAUGUCUGCCUUAUCAACUGUCGAUGGUAGGUUCUGCGCCUACCAUGGUUGUAACGGGUAACGGGGAAUCAGGGUUCGAUUCCGGAGAGGGAGCCUGAGAAACGGCUACCACAUCCAAGGAAGGCAGCAGGCGCGCAAAUUACCCACUCCCGGCACGGGGAGGUAGUGACGAAAAAUAACGAUACGGGACUCAUCCGAGGCCCCGUAAUCGGAAUGAGUACACUCUAAACCCUUUAACGAGGAUCAAUUGGAGGGCAAGUCUGGUGCCAGCAGCCGCGGUAAUUCCAGCUCCAAUAGCGUAUAUUAAAGUUGUUGCGGUUAAAAAGCUCGUAGUCGAAUUUGUGUCUCGCGCCGCCGGUUCAUCGUCCGCGGUGUUAACUGGCGAGUCGCGAGACGUCCUGCCGGUGGGCUUAGCUCGCGAGGGCGGCCCAACUCAAUCCUGCCGCGGUGCUCUUCAUUGAGUGUCGAGGUGGGCCGGCACGUUUACUUUGAACAAAUUAGAGUGCUUAAAGCAGGCUAAAACUUCGCCUGAAUACUGUGUGCAUGGAAUAAUGGAAUAGGACCUCGGUUCUAUUUUGUUGGUUUUCGGAACCCCGAGGUAAUGAUUAAUAGGAACGGAUGGGGGCAUUCGUAUUGCGACGUUAGAGGUGAAAUUCUUGGAUCGUCGC
RNAcentral lists this ribosomal RNA (967 nucleotides) under Trigonopterus sp. 831 AR-2022a. Its description in RNAcentral is "SSU rRNA". It matches the Rfam family "Eukaryotic small subunit ribosomal RNA", at positions 23 to 931 of the family's 1831-position model. The record is from RNAcentral. RNAcentral also lists the same sequence under 1 other name. Lineage: Eukaryota; Metazoa; Arthropoda; Insecta; Coleoptera; Curculionidae.